GUAAUUCUGAGAACUACAAGUUGGAGAGGGGAGAGCUGGGUCGAAAAAGGCCACUUGAGGACCUGCCCUCCUACAGCAGGGACAUUUGUAUCUAAAGAGUGCUGCCUAUAGGGGAGCAGCAACUUGGAAGAAAAGGCCUAAUACUUAAGGGUCAAGGAAGGAGUUGCAAGUGAUCACCCAGCCUGGAGAAGCAUCUGCCCGAGUCAAGGAAACUUUACAAGAGAAAUCCCCAGUGUGCACCCCUAUGAAGAGCCUACAAUGGUAUGUCUACAAGAGUGAGUCAUCCUUACUUCUGCCAGACCCAGAUAGUUGCAAGCUGUCUUUGCUACCAUUUCAGCACUUGAAAAUGGUACCGAUACUUCCUCCUGGCUUUAUGGUUUCUGCUGAGAAAUUUGCUCUUAUUCAAAUAUUUUCCCGUAUAG
RNAcentral lists this long non-coding RNA (422 nucleotides) under Homo sapiens (human). RNAcentral's name for it is "PREDICTED lncRNA (TCONS_00235699)". The record is from RNAcentral. Lineage: Eukaryota; Metazoa; Chordata; Mammalia; Primates; Hominidae.